Molecule: non-coding RNA, 155 nt
Filed under: Gorilla gorilla gorilla (western lowland gorilla)
Lineage: Eukaryota; Metazoa; Chordata; Mammalia; Primates; Hominidae
Source: Rfam by way of RNAcentral
GCCGGGUGCAGUGGCGCGCGCCUGUAAUCCCAGCUACUCAGGAGGCUGAGGCAGAAGAAUCGCUUGUACCGGGGAGGCAGAGGUUGCAGUGAGCCAAGAUCUUGAUCGUGCCACUGCACUCCAGCCUGGGUGACCAGAGCGAGACUCUGUCUCAA